RNAcentral lists this ribosomal RNA (350 nucleotides) under uncultured eukaryote. RNAcentral describes it as "SSU rRNA". It matches the Rfam family "Eukaryotic small subunit ribosomal RNA", at positions 567 to 921 of the family's 1831-position model. The record is from RNAcentral.
CCAGCAGCUGCGGUAAUUCCAGCUCCAAUAGCGUAUAUUAAAGUUGUUGCAGUUAAAAAGCUCGUAGUCGGACUUUCGGGGUCGAGGUCGCGAUCCGGCGGGAGCUGUGUAUUGCGGCUUUGGCCUCUACUCUCAGACGGCUCGGUCUGCUCUUAAGUGAGUGGGUCGCGGUCGCUGGGUCGUUUACUUUGAAAAAAUUAGAGUGUUUAAAGCAGGCGUUUGCCCUGAAUAUAUUAGCAUGGGAUAAUAGAAUAGGACCCCUUUCCUAUUUGUUGGUUUCGAGGACUGGGGUAAUGAUUAAUAGGGACCGUUGGGGGUGUUCAUAUUUAAUUGUCAGAGGUGAAAUUCUU